RNAcentral lists this transfer RNA (76 nucleotides) under Bradyrhizobium arachidis. RNAcentral's name for it is "tRNA-Met". Lineage: Bacteria; Pseudomonadati; Pseudomonadota; Alphaproteobacteria; Hyphomicrobiales; Nitrobacteraceae. The record is from RNAcentral.
CGCCGCUCGCCCUGGAAAAUGGGCCACGGGAAUCAUAAUCCUGGGGUCGGGGGUUCGAGUCCCUCCCCCGCUACCA